ACAGUCUUCAACAAGCCAACCCUAAGCCUCAACACACAUCAUAUAGCCUAACAUACUUAUUUCCCACCAUUCUAGCACACUAAAUACACAACAAAAUAUUACAACCAAAAAAUUAUCACUAGAAAUCAAACUCAACACUACAGAGCAUAAGUUGACCCAGGGUAAUAAAUUUAAAUACCCGCUAUCGCCAGGUUCCAACAAUGCACCUGCUGCGAUCUAGUUGUCUGCUAGAUUUGAUGGCCGGCGGGCGGGUCGCGUGAAGUGUGUGUGUCAGUGUUUAUCGCCGUAUAUCGUCCGUCAUCCUGGUUUCUCCGCACCUUCAUGACUCCCCAAGGCGUGCAGGACCUUCGCAGUGCCCAAGGUUGUGGAGUGGAUUCUUAUUGGAGGUGAGAAAAGGACAGCAGAGACAGCACAGAGACAGCACGUACUUCUGUGUUAGUGAUGUGGCGUUAGUGAUGUGGCGUUAGUAAUGUGGCGUUAGUAAUGUGGCGGACUCGAUGCCGCUGUGAUGGAAGCCAAGACAAAUAACUUUCGUAACAGUGAUG
Molecule: long non-coding RNA, 545 nt
Organism: Eriocheir sinensis (Chinese mitten crab)
Lineage: Eukaryota; Metazoa; Arthropoda; Malacostraca; Decapoda; Varunidae
Exons: 2
Source: RefSeq, a predicted model, not a curated record